This 431-nucleotide ribosomal RNA is filed under the name uncultured bacterium. RNAcentral's name for it is "bacterial SSU rRNA". It matches the Rfam family "Bacterial small subunit ribosomal RNA", at positions 28 to 454 of the family's 1533-position model. The record is from RNAcentral.
GACGAACGCUGGCGGCGCGCCUAACACAUGCAAGUCGAACGGAGCUUAAAGAGCUUGCUUUUUAAGCUUAGUGGCGAACGGGUGAGUAACGCGUGAGUAACCUGCCCUAGAGUGGGGGACAACAGUUGGAAACGACUGCUAAUACCGCAUAAGCCCACGGUACCGCAUGAUACUGAGGGAAAAGGAUUUAUUCGCUUUAGGAUGGACUCGCGUCCAAUUAGCUAGUUGGUGAGGUAACGGCCCACCAAGGCGACGAUUGGUAGCCGGACUGAGAGGUUGAACGGCCACAUUGGGACUGAGACACGGCCCAGACUCCUACGGGAGGCAGCAGUGGGGGAUAUUGCACAAUGGGGGAAACCCUGAUGCAGCGACGCCGCGUGGAGGAAGAAGGUUUUCGGAUUGUAAACUCCUGUCGUUAGGGACGAUAAUGA